Molecule: non-coding RNA, 498 nt
Organism: Paramuricea clavata
Lineage: Eukaryota; Metazoa; Cnidaria; Anthozoa; Malacalcyonacea; Plexauridae
Source: the annotation of a GenBank genome assembly
UGAAUGUAAAAGACCCAAACAUAUCACAUCUAAAAUUUUUUUCUUUACAUAAAAUAACCAAAAUGGGUAAAAUAUUAGCAAUAUUCGCCAUUUUUUGACAGGCGGUCUUAUUCAAUGGGGCCAAAAAACAGCAUUUUGGAUUUGAAUUUUACUUUUUGUUAUUUUUAAGUUAAGGAAAGAUAAAACUUAGUAAAAAUAAAACUUAUAGGAUAAUGGCAAUUAGCCAACAGAAUUUUUGAGCCCUAUCAGCACACUCCAGGUCGUAUCAACAUGAAUAAACUCCGGUAAGCUUAUCGUUUUUAUGAUGGGAUAUGAAACAUUGAGACCGUUAUCUUGAUGGGGUACCAAAUAUUAACCGACAAUUUUGUGGGGGUAUGAAAAUUUUUCACAAAAUUAAAAAUAUCCUCCGCCCUGGGGUAGCACUUACUUUAUGACCGCUUCCUUCGUUCACGUUUUUCGCCAUACAUUUCUAUAUUAGUAAUUUAUAUCACUCCGUGG